UACGUAGGGUGCGAGCGUUAAUCGGAUUUACUGGGCGUAAAGCGCGUGUAGGCGGCAGGGCAAGUCUGGUGUGAAAGCCCGGGGCUCAACCUAGGAAUUGCGCUUGUGACUGGCGGGCUCGAGUACGGUAGAGGGGGGUGGAAUUCCUGGUGUAGCAGUGAAAUGCGUAGAGAUCAGGAGGAACACCGAUGGCGAAGGCAGCCCCCUGGGCCUGUACUGACGCUCAUGCACGAAAGCGUGGGGAGCAAACAGG
RNAcentral lists this ribosomal RNA (253 nucleotides) under uncultured microorganism. RNAcentral's name for it is "partial 16S ribosomal RNA". It matches the Rfam family "Bacterial small subunit ribosomal RNA", at positions 524 to 776 of the family's 1533-position model. The record is from RNAcentral.